Molecule: transfer RNA, 89 nt
Filed under: Methyloceanibacter superfactus
Lineage: Bacteria; Pseudomonadati; Pseudomonadota; Alphaproteobacteria; Hyphomicrobiales; Hyphomicrobiaceae
Description: tRNA-Ser
Rfam family: tRNA
About the family: Transfer RNA (tRNA) molecules are approximately 80 nucleotides in length. Their secondary structure includes four short double-helical elements and three loops (D, anti-codon, and T loops).
Source: RNAcentral
GGAGGGGUGGCCGAGUGGUUGAAGGCACCGGUCUUGAAAACCGGCAGGCGCGCGAGCGUCUCGUGGGUUCGAAUCCACCCCCUCCGCCA